This 78-nucleotide transfer RNA is filed under the name uncultured bacterium. RNAcentral describes it as "tRNA-Met". It matches the Rfam family "tRNA". From Rfam's summary of the family: Transfer RNA (tRNA) molecules are approximately 80 nucleotides in length. Their secondary structure includes four short double-helical elements and three loops (D, anti-codon, and T loops). The record is from RNAcentral.
UGGGCUCGUAGCUCAGUUGGUUAGAGCAGCUGACUCAUAAUCAGCGGGUCGCUGGUUCAAGUCCGGCCGAGCCCACCC